CCCUCUCUCUGAACCAUCAAUUUCCAAAACCCUUAAUUCCGCACUCCUUUCUUUGAGCUAUUAAUUUUCAAAAUCCUCAAUUCCACCCUCCCUCCCUCCUCUAAGCUAUCAAGGGUUAACGAUUUCAAGAAGAAAGGGAGGUAUAACGACUGUUUAAAUCUUAUCACCACUAGCACUCUGUCCUCAACGACGUGGUUCUCCUUGAGAGUCAUUGCUGCCUCUUUCAUCAGAUGGAGAUGAAAAUUACAGAGGUAAGUUCAGCUAAUAACGAUGAUUGUUGCUUGGACCAAGAGAUGGAAACGGAAAAAUGUCAAUCUGGUGGUGAUAAACUACUAUUUCAUGAUAAAUCUUGUGCUUAAAUUGAGUGAUUUUAUUAACUUUUCACCUACUUAUUCAUAUGAGUGUGUAUGAUUUUGCAAUUCUUUUCUUAUGAUAUGAAAUGUGAGAAAAUAUGUUUCUUAUGCUUUAAAAUAAUCAAAUUUAAUUAUCCUUUAUUAUCAUUCGAUGCCGUGAUUUGUGUGUUGAGUACUUUCAGGUUUUAUAGGGUAGGAAUGACUUAAAGGAUGCGAAGGAAACAUACAAAAUGGAAGGAAAGCACAAAUUGGAGUUUUGGAGAAACUGGCAGCGACGCGUCCGCAUGGAUGAUGCGAAUGCGUGCUUUGCAUAAAUUAGCAUCGACGCGAGCGCAUGGACGACACGAACGCGUGGCGUGCGAAACACAACUGACGCGGACGCAUGACUGACGCGACCGCGUGGAAGAGCAAAACUCCAGAUGACACGACCGCGUGACCCACGCGAACGCGUGACGUGCGCGAUCUGCAGAAUUCGCAGAAGUCCGUUCCAGUGACUUUUGGGCUCUUUUUGGCCCAGAUCCAAGCCCAGAGAACACAGAUUAAAGAGUUAUAAAUGGAGGAAUCCAUCCAUUCAUGAGGAUAGACUAGAGAGACUGGAUACAACAUACAUUCAAACAUAAUUUAGAUGUAGCUUUUAGAGAGAGAGGUUCUCUCCUCUCUCUUAGGAUUAGAAUUAGGACUCCUCUUAAAGGACUUAGGAAUAUUUCUAUCUUCUUCAAUUACAGGUUCAAUGUUCUUUCAAUUUAUCUUUUCAAUCUAAUUUAUGAACUUGCCCAUGUUAGAAUUGACAUCUUUAUUUAAAAAUAA
Long non-coding RNA from Arachis stenosperma, 1160 nucleotides. RefSeq lists it as uncharacterized. Lineage: Eukaryota; Viridiplantae; Streptophyta; Magnoliopsida; Fabales; Fabaceae. The record is from RefSeq and is a predicted model, not a curated record. The transcript is spliced from 3 exons.